RNAcentral lists this long non-coding RNA (294 nucleotides) under Brassica napus (rape). RNAcentral's name for it is "long non-coding RNA (BNAP_LNC004731)". Lineage: Eukaryota; Viridiplantae; Streptophyta; Magnoliopsida; Brassicales; Brassicaceae. The record is from RNAcentral.
AGUAAGGGGUGAUGAUAGGAGCAGGAGCGGCAAAAACGGGCUCGUUACGGAUAAGUGUUGGAACGGAACGAGAGGAGGAGGAGGAGGAGGAGGAAGAAGAGGAUGAGGGAAGGCAAGCCACGGUGGGAGAAGAACGAAGAGUCUGUUUUUGGAGAGAAGGCUGAGAAGGAGAAAGAGAGGUGAGGAAGAAGCCGGAGAGAGGAGCGGUCGCCAUUUGCGGGUGAAGAGAAGGUAGUGAGAGUGAGAUGUAGUUUAUAAUAUAGUAUAAUAAGACUUUGUAGAUGUAAGGGAUAU